This 500-nucleotide ribosomal RNA is filed under the name uncultured bacterium. RNAcentral's name for it is "partial 16S ribosomal RNA". It matches the Rfam family "Bacterial small subunit ribosomal RNA", at positions 30 to 523 of the family's 1533-position model. The record is from RNAcentral.
AUUGAACGCUGGCGGCAUGCCUUACACAUGCAAGUCGAACGGCAGCACGGGAGCAAUCCUGGUGGCGAGUGGCGAACGGGUGAGUAAUAUAUCGGAACGUGCCCAGUCGUGGGGGAUAACGCAGCGAAAGCUGUGCUAAUACCGCAUACGAUCUAUGGAUGAAAGCGGGGGACCGUAAGGCCUCGCGCGAUUGGAGCGGCCGAUAUCAGAUUAGCUGGUCGGUGGGGUAAAGGCCCACCAAGGCGACGAUCUGUAGCUGGUCUGAGAGGACGACCAGCCACACUGGAACUGAGACACGGUCCAGACUCCUACGGGAGGCAGCAGUGGGGAAUUUUGGACAAUGGGCGCAAGCCUGAUCCAGCAACGCCGCGUGCAGGAUGAAGGCCUUCGGGUUGUAAACUGCUUUUGUACGGAACGAAACGGUCUCUAUUAAUACUGGGGGCUAAUGACGGUACCGUAAGAAUAAGCACCGGCUAACUACGUGCCAGCCGCCGCGGUAA